CGGCCAGACUCCUACGGGAGGCAGCAGUGAGGAAUAUUGGUCAAUGGGCGCGAGCCUGAACCAGCCAAGUCGCGUGAGGGAAGACGGUCCUAUGGAUUGUAAACCUCUUUUGUCGGGGGGCAAAAGACGCCACGUGUGGCGUUCCGAGAGUACCCGAAGAAAAAGCAUCGGCUAACUCCGUGCCAGCAGCCGCGGUAAUACGGAGGAUGCGAGCGUUAUCCGGAUUUAUUGGGUUUAAAGGGAGCGUAGGCCGGUCUUUAAGCGUGCCGUGAAAUUUUGUGGCUCAACCAUGAGAGUGCGGCGCGAACUGGAGACCUUGAGUGCGCGGAAGGCAGGCGGAAUUCGUGGUGUAGCGGUGAAAUGCUUAGAUAUCACGAAGAACCCCGAUUGCGAAGGCAGCAUGCCGGCUUCCGACUGGCGCUGAAGCACGAAAGCGUGGGGAUCGAACAGGAUUAGAUACCCCAGUA
This 467-nucleotide ribosomal RNA is filed under the name uncultured bacterium. RNAcentral's name for it is "bacterial SSU rRNA". It matches the Rfam family "Bacterial small subunit ribosomal RNA", at positions 328 to 792 of the family's 1533-position model. The record is from RNAcentral.